GAUGAACGCUAGCGGCAGGCCUAACACAUGCAAGUCGAGGGGCAGCACAGAAAUAGCUUGCUAUUUGGGUGGCGACCGGCGCACGGGUGCGUAACGCGUAUGCAACCUACCUUAUACUGGGGUAUAGCCCGGAGAAAUUCGGAUUAAUCCCCCAUGGUAUUAUAGAUUGGCAUCGGUUUAUAAUUAAAGUAACAACGGUAUAAGAUGGGCAUGCGUCCUAUUAGCUAGAUGGUGAGGUAACGGCUCACCAUGGCUACGAUAGGUAGGGGGCCUGAGAGCGUGGCCCCCCANACGGGUACUGAGACACGGACCCGACUCCUACGGGAGGCAGCAGUAAGGAAUAUUGGACAAUGGUCGAAAGACUGAUCCAGCCAUCCCGCGUGCAGGAUGACUGCCCUAUGGGUUGUAAACUGCUUUUAUAUGGGAAGAAUAGCAUAGAUUCAUCUGUGUAUGACGGUACCAUAUGAAUAAGCACCGGCUAACUCCGU
Molecule: ribosomal RNA, 488 nt
Filed under: uncultured bacterium
Lineage: Bacteria
Description: bacterial SSU rRNA
Rfam family: Bacterial small subunit ribosomal RNA
Source: RNAcentral